GGUCAGGCAGCUCUCCUGUUGCUCCCACAUAUGGAUCUGGGGGUCCUGGUCACCGCAGGGCCUGGGAGGGGCUGGUCAGCCCUACAGACCUCACUCUUGGGGGCUAAGUUGGCGGGGAUUAACGGCGUCAGAAUCCUGAGGCCCUUCACCCCCAUGAGUGUCCCCGCCUUAACUGUCACCCAGCCCCACUCACAGACCCACCCAGCGAGACUCUCAGCCGGGCGGUACUCGCUCCAAGGCUGCUGCCACCCACCCUUUCCUCCUCUCCAAGCCUGCACUCCCCGACGCUGGCACAGCACGGAGCUAAUUCGUGCUGAGUGGACUAAAGAGCGCUGCUCCUGUCCAUGCAUGAUGCCCAGGCUUCUGGUACCACAGGCUUCCACAGGAGGAAGUGGUUUCCCAGAGGGCAUUCCCAAGUGCCGGAUGCAGUCUCUGGGAUGCUUAGCCCCUGGAGGGUGCACCAGGGGAGGAAAGGGUUCUCAUGUUCAAGACCUGGCUGUUCUACCUGGGAACCCGUGGCUUGAGAGGCAGAGACCGUCAGCACUGGGCUGGAGGGAUGAGUUCAGGGGAGCAGGUAACCAAAGGUCUAUCGGGCCUGUACAGACCCAGGCGGCCAGCGGCACAGCGCCAAGCACAGCUGCAAAAGGCUGUGAGCCGCAGGACUCCGGCUGGGUGACAUUCUGGAAAAGGCAAAACUUGGAGACAGUGAAGAGACCAGCGCUUGUCAGGAGUUGGGAGAGGAACACAGGACGGGUGGAGCACAAGGACGGGCGGGUGUGACCGCAAGCUGUACGUCACAGUGAGGAGACCCGCGUCACACACAGCUGAACACAGCUACCAAGGUGCAGCAGAGUGAGGACGGCACACUUGGGCUCUGCUUGCCAGCGACGUAUCAGGGCUGGCUGUUAGCUGCUCACAGUCGUAACAAAUGCAGCCCUGGAGAGGUU
This 947-nucleotide long non-coding RNA is filed under the name Fukomys damarensis (Damara mole-rat). Its description in RNAcentral is "lncRNA (ENSFDAG00000031803.1)". The record is from RNAcentral. Lineage: Eukaryota; Metazoa; Chordata; Mammalia; Rodentia; Bathyergidae.